UACGAAGGGUGCAAACGUUGCUCGGAAUCAUUGGGCGUAAAGCGCACGUAGGCGGCUUCGCAAGUCGGAUGUGAAAUCCCUCGGCUCAACCGAGGACGUGCAUCCGAAACUGCGGAGCUUGAGUACUGAAGAGGAUCGCGGAAUUCCCGGUGUAGAGGUGAAAUUCGUAGAUAUCGGGAGGAACACCAGUGGCGAAGGCGGCGAUCUGGGCAGUUACUGACGCUGAGGUGCGAAAGCGUGGGGAGCAAACAGG
RNAcentral lists this ribosomal RNA (253 nucleotides) under uncultured bacterium. Its description in RNAcentral is "partial 16S ribosomal RNA". It matches the Rfam family "Bacterial small subunit ribosomal RNA", at positions 524 to 776 of the family's 1533-position model. The record is from RNAcentral.